Molecule: ribosomal RNA, 585 nt
Filed under: uncultured bacterium
Lineage: Bacteria
Description: partial 16S ribosomal RNA
Rfam family: Bacterial small subunit ribosomal RNA
Source: RNAcentral
UGGGGAAUUUUGGACAAUGGGCGAAAGCCUGAUCCAGCAAUGCCGCGUGUGUGAAGAAGGCCUUCGGGUUGUAAAGCACUUUUGUCCGGAAAGAAAUCCUCUGGGUUAAUACCUCGGGGGGAUGACGGUACCGGAAGAAUAAGCACCGGCUAACUACGUGCCAGCAGCCGCGGUAAUACGUAGGGUGCAAGCGUUAAUCGGAAUUACUGGGCGUAAAGCGUGCGCAGGCGGUUUGCUAAGACCGAUGUGAAAUCCCCGGGCUCAACCUGGGAACUGCAUUGGUGACUGGCAGGCUAGAGUAUGGCAGAGGGGGGUAGAAUUCCACGUGUAGCAGUGAAAUGCGUAGAGAUGUGGAGGAAUACCGAUGGCGAAGGCAGCCCCCUGGGCCAAUACUGACGCUCAUGCACGAAAGCGUGGGGAGCAAACAGGAUUAGAUACCCUGGUAGUCCACGCCCUAAACGAUGUCAACUAGUUGUUGGGGGUUCAUUUCCUUAGUAACGUAGCUAACGCGUGAAGUUGACCGCCUGGGGAGUACGGUCGCAAGAUUAAAACUUAAAGGAAUUGACGGGGUCAUAGCUGUUUCCU